This 239-nucleotide ribosomal RNA is filed under the name uncultured bacterium. Its description in RNAcentral is "partial 16S ribosomal RNA". It matches the Rfam family "Bacterial small subunit ribosomal RNA", at positions 94 to 334 of the family's 1533-position model. The record is from RNAcentral.
CCCGGCGCACGGGUGCGUAACGCGUAUGCAACCUACCCUUUAUAGGGGGAUAACACUGAGAAAUUGGUACUAAUACCCCAUAAUAUCAUAGAAGGCAUCUUUUAUGGUUGAAAAUUCCGAUGGUUAGAGAUGGGCAUGCGUUGUAUUAGCUAGUUGGUGGGGUAACGGCUCACCAAGGCGACGAUACAUAGGGGGACUGAGAGGUUAACCCCCCACACUGGUACUGAGACACGGACCAG